Oncorhynchus tshawytscha (Chinook salmon) is the source of this 2309-nucleotide long non-coding RNA. The record is from Ensembl. NCBI's taxonomy places the organism in Eukaryota, Metazoa, Chordata, Actinopteri, Salmoniformes, Salmonidae.
UGGUGACUAAACGACAGUUUGGCUGUUGAGUUUCAUUUUCAUCUUUGCAACUUCCUCAAAAAUGGUGAGUAAGCUUUUUUGCACCGUCUGUUGAGAAGAAAAACGGGACUAAACGGCAAAAAUGAACAAUUGAACACACUAUCUUGUAUCCAUCUAUCGAUUUUGCCAAAACACCUCGAAAUCCAUUCAAGAGUUUUGACGCGCAGGAACGCGCGCACCUAAAAGGCUAUAAGGAAACCAUAUUUCAUUUCAGAAUUGGUUCAAAUUAUGUUAGGAUCAGGGUUUUAAUAAGGUAUGGGUCAGUAUUAUGUUUUGCAGGUCAGAAGUGUCCUAAUAGCCUCUGUCCCCGUGCGCAGAAACGUCUAUGCAAAUAUUAGGUGUAGUCUACUAUAUUUGCUCAGUCCUCUUAAAAACGUAGCUAUUUCAGUAAAUCAUUUGGCUAAUUUCAAAUUAAUAUGAACCUUCUAAUGAGUUUUCAUAAUAGCAGUAUCAGUUAUUGUAUAGGCCAAGUGAUCUAUUUAAUGGUUAUGACGUCAUCUUUCUCAUGACAGGACGCUGAACAACAGAAGAAGGCAGAAGAAUUUCUAUUGUCUGGAGCAAGUUUUAGGACAAAUGCCUUCAGAAUCAUCAACAUAAUGAUUAAACUAUGCAAAGACAAGCCUGGCUGUAAGGUGCAUGUGGAUGAGAUUCUCCACAGCAUCUUCUUCUUAGGUUUCAUUCAUAAACCCCAACAAUGCACCCCCAACGAUAUCCUUGGUGAACUUAUGCCUGAAAUGGAGAGGAUUUUCCCGAGACCAUUUGAGAAUUACACAAGUAAACUGCCCAAACGGACUCCGUUCUCCUCUGUGCUGGAUAUGGUGGUCUCCUUGCUUGGACCAGACAGUGAGAUCAAUAUACUGGAGAGACUGAAGGAAAUCGCCAAUAUCAUGUCAGAAGCCAAGAGUAAAUACCAGUUCACCUCCUCGACCAUCUGUGUCUCUCAAAGGAAGGAUGUUCAAAGAAGUUACUAUGGAGCGUCCAUGUCCUGCACGGGGAAGAAAGGACAGAUUAUGAUCGCUGUGUCCUGUCUGUGUACCUGGCACUACAGUGUAUCCAAUGCCGUGAUGACAUACAAGCCAGAUAAGAACAAGAGAAAUAACUUUGAUGGCACCAUGAAACUACAAGGACAUGUAAAGUGCCAGGCUUCCAAUGUGAAGAGUGGGGAGGAGAUGUCUCCUUGCAGGUCCUGUGGUCAUCUUUUUGGUCUGAAGGAACCAAGCAAUCAGAUGUGGCCCUAUGGGAACUGCGCAGAGGCAGAGAGCUUGAGCAAACUGCUCUAUGGAGAGGAAGAGAUUGUUAAGAAUGUAGUACCAUCAGUUGAUUGCAAAAUGCGAGAGCAAGUGGUGAAGGAGGUAAAGGCUCACCUGGAAGAGAUGCUCAAAGAGUCAGAAUUUCAAUGGGAUUCUUCCUAUUACAUUCCACAGUAGAUUGUCAGAGAAACGCAUGUGCGCACACGCACACACACACUAAGUUUACAGAUAUACAGAUGCACAUUCCUACUGUGACACACAGAUCCAAAACAUAUAAUCAUAGCUUGGUGCGGGGCUAGCAACAUGUGAUUUGUGUCUGACAGCUAGCAUUGAAACAUUGCCAAAGCAGUGAACCACUCUGUGCAUGUAGUAUACAGUAUAACUGCUAGGCUAUAGCUAUCGGCUCUUAUCAAUGACAUCUGUGAGGUAGAUGGUUCUUUUAGAAGGGGACCGUUGUUUAGAGUACCUCAUGGAGAUACCUGAAAUUGAAUUUAAUAUUCUAGUCUAGACAAAGCAUUUAACAUAUAUAUAUUUUUAAAGAUGAUUUUAAUUGGAAUUUUAAACUUUAUUUCUGUAUACUCUAGUUAUUAAUGCACAUUUUACUAAUCUGUAACAAAUUACUAAUACUGUAAACAUUGGUGUGAAUUCAUGUCUGGGUUGAUUUCUAGCUAUGUGAGGAAUUCAUCUAAUAAAGGAACUUAAAUUGUAACCAUUGUAAUGUAGCCUAUGUUGUCAUUUGUGUGUGUGACAGAGAGAUUUUCAGUGCUUACUGUUCUUAGUUUGCAAACGGAAGGGUGAAGAGAGUUGAAAUAGCAGAACAAAAAAACAGGAUGCUGAUAAAGUGAAGUGCAAUUAUUCAUGGUAUUGUGUAUUGGUAUAUUGAAGUGAAUAUACUGUAUGUGUGUGGGAAGAGAAAUUUCCUAAGAUUAAUAAAAACAUAAGGUUAACAACCUGCAUGAAUAAAUUGCAGUUACUUAUAUGACACAUGGAUAUGGAAAGACCAAGGGCUUUAUUUUCGGC